GGUCCGGCUCCUUCGCUCCCACUUCCCAGAGCUCCUGCACCCUCCGGACCCCGCGGGGGAGUGAGCAGCCUUGGCACCCUGAGUCAGGGAGACAUCUGUGUGCACCUUCUUCCUGAGGGGCUCGGCUACUUUGCUGACCUGGUGACAAAUCCCCUGCAGGGAGGACUGAGGACUGGACGCGCUGCCAGCAGCGCUGGCUACUGAGCAAGUCCCCUCGCCCUGCUCCAGAGCUUGUCAACAAGCCCCUCUCCACCCUGUCCUCACUGGCUUCCUGGAUUCAGGGCCAUUCUUCCUCCAUUUGUCUAUCAAACUCUACUAAGGUGUGCAUUCUGUCAAGUGGCGGUUUGAAGGCUUUGCAAAUAUUAUCUCAUUUGUUUCUCAACGAUUUUAUGAGUAUGUUUUAUUACCGUUACUAAUUUUCUAAAGUAAAGAGUCCCCAAACCACACAGUUAUAAGAUGACAGAGCAGGGAUUUGGCAUUAGAGUGUGUGAAACUAAAAUAUUUACCUCUGAAGUCCCCAAAAGGCCAAAGGAAUAUGUUACAAACAAGUUGACAAGGAUGUUUCAAUGGCCCUGGAGUGUGGAACAGGGGUGAAAAACAGAAAUUUUGAUGCAAUGUUCUAAAUCAGGUAAAAGUGUAAGGUUGUGGAUGUACCAGCCUUUCUUUUUCUAACAAAUUUCUUCUAAGUGUUCUCACUGCUCAGUAAUCUCUUCCCUUCUCCCCCUUGUGUCAACAUCCGCCUUAUCUGUCCAGAGGCCCUAGCUCCUACUGACAAGUACGGACUGCAAUCUCAGGUCAUCAGGAUAGGGUGGAGUUUUGUAGGAAACAGCACUCCCCAGACUGUGACAGAAAGCUCUUAGAUGUUGUAUAUUCCCCUAAUGAGAACCAGUGACUUUUGAGUUUGAUCAUCUGAGUUUUCAAAUAAUGAUGCUAGAUAUUUGUUGUAUAUUUAUCUUUUAAAUAAACCUUAAUCUUAAUUAUCCAAACUUCUUUUU
Molecule: long non-coding RNA, 995 nt
Filed under: Chinchilla lanigera (long-tailed chinchilla)
Lineage: Eukaryota; Metazoa; Chordata; Mammalia; Rodentia; Chinchillidae
Description: lncRNA (ENSCLAG00000028442.1)
Source: RNAcentral